Balaenoptera musculus (blue whale) is the source of this 1900-nucleotide long non-coding RNA. RefSeq lists it as uncharacterized. The transcript has 8 exons. The record is from RefSeq and is a predicted model, not a curated record. Lineage: Eukaryota; Metazoa; Chordata; Mammalia; Artiodactyla; Balaenopteridae.
GCCAGCCCGCGGCACGCGUCCCGGGCGUCGAGGGGCGCGGCGAGCGCGCAGUCACGUAGCCACUAGGCAGCCAGUCCGCUCCGCGCCGCCUCCGGACCGCGCGGACUCCUGAAGAGAUGGUUUUCAAAGUCUGGUGGCGGAAUUGAAGCCUUCAAAAGAAGGACUAAUCAGAAGCCCGAUAUGUAAAACAGUGGAGGCUGGAAUGCAUCGAGUGGCCUGGCAAGUGUGAAGCCCUUGGGGUCCGCAGGGGACAGUUUGAAAAUCUCUGGCCUGUAGGAUAAAGGUUCCCUCAUGAGACCACAGUUAAGAUGUUGGCCAGGGCUGCAGUCACCAUGGUGGCCAGAGGAUUCCCUGCUGAGAUGGCUUAGUCACCUGACUGGCCUGUCAGUGGAUUCUCUGGGCUCUGGUCCAAGUCUUUAACCCACAUGCAACUGGAUGGCAAGAAGUAGUUUGCUCGGAAGUCUGAUUGAGUACAUCUUCCUCACCUCCUAAGAGCUUGGGUGAAGUUUCUCUGCCUAAGAGCCUACUGCAUCCUGGAGAAUAGAGCUGCCCCCUCAAGCCCCUGGGUCCUGACUUCCCAGCCUGACCGCUGUUCAGCCAAGCUCUUGUGAUGCAGCACAGAGGGUGACAUGAUUCUCAGGAGCCAGAGCCUGGAAAGCUGCCAGGCAAGGCCUCCUUUCACUGGCUCUUCCCCUCCCGUGGAUAUGAGGGGCUUCUCCGAGCUCGUAGGUAGACACAGUGGGAUCCUUGUGAUGAUCAUCUCGAACAAAGGAGCAACAAGUCCGGAGCAGAGUUGCUGGGAUGAGAUCAAAGCAUGACAUUGCUUGUACCUGUUGAUCAAAAUCAUGGGGUCAGCACAGCAUCUGCUCAGUCCUCUCGAGGGCCGGUUCGCUUACCAGAAGAGGUACACCUGAAAAGCUUCAUUGAAUUACUGAGCAUGAGCCCGCCCUUUCUGCUCGCGAGCCUGUCAACACUUCAGCCGGCGGAAAGUUCCUGGGAACUGUCUUGGGCGUUUGGCAGGCGUGCCCAGGGCCAACUGUGUAACCCUCUGGGCUGUUGGGAUUGGAAUUACUCUUUUAGGAGUGCAGGGCUGGAACAAAGAGGCCCUGUUGGUUAUUUCCAGAUUCUGGAAGAACUCUGCCUUUAAUGAUGGUGUAGAGUUAAUGUGAUCUAAACUUGCCAUACUCACAGGUUUGUUUUGGUUUUUUUUUUAAUUUUACUUUUUUCAAGCUGAGCUUAAGAGGCAUACGCUUGAAUCGAUUAUGUACUCACAAAAGGGGUCUGUCUACUCCACAGAGGAGUUUAGAUGCUGUUCCCAGCCCGGCUGUGGCAUAAACCUGCCCCGGUAAAGCAGAAAGGCACAGGGUAUGGAUUAUAAAGAAUCAUCAUUACCCUCAAUGAUGAACAACAUUUAAACAACCUUUAUUCAUUUGAGGUGUCUAUUAAACGAUCUUGAAAAGAAGAGUGUGCUGUAAUAAAAAAAUCAGAUUAAAUCUAAAGGAAAUAAUUCUUAAAGAGGUGGAGGAAAAAAUGUUGGCAAGGCCUGAACUUCUGGCAAUGGCUAAGCAAACGUUAGGAUAAAAGAUUAAUAGGUUCUAAUACUUUAUUCAAACAAAGCACUGUUUUAAAAAAUAUAUCCGAUGUCUGCAAAAAUAUAAACUUUGGUCAUCUGAUAUUUUGAGUAAAUUAAUAUAUGUAGUGUUCUAUAAUACUAAUUAGUUUAUACAGUGCCCAUUCAAGGUAAGCAGCGAUUAAUGAUUUAGAGUGAUAUGAACUGAUGUAGAGGGUCAAGUCUGUUUUGGUACAUUUAAGUCUAUUCUGUUGUAUUUGUGUGCAUCAUGCAAGACCCUGGGGUGGGGAUGGAAGGGAUACAAAAAUGGGAAGCUAUUGUUGCUGCCAC